Long non-coding RNA from Pogoniulus pusillus (Red-fronted tinkerbird), 661 nucleotides. RefSeq lists it as uncharacterized. NCBI's taxonomy places the organism in Eukaryota, Metazoa, Chordata, Aves, Piciformes, Lybiidae. The transcript is spliced from 4 exons. The record is from RefSeq and is a predicted model, not a curated record.
AGCAGCCCCGGGCGGGCGCUGCCGGCAGAAAAGCGCCCUCUGGCGGCCGCCAGCCGUCCUCCCGCGCUCCGCCGCACCCUCGCCACUCCUAGCACAGAGCCGCAGGUGGGUUCCGUUCCCGGCGGCGGGGGCGGUGCCCGGGCGGCGGGCGCAGGCGUGGGGCGGUGCCGCGCACGGAAACUUGCCCUAAAGAGACCUGGCACCUGGAAGCUAUGGCUCUGUCUCUGUCUUUCCUGGCUGCUGCAGUCCAUUUGCGGAGUCCAUCGAAACAUCAGCACCAGACAGCUUCUCCAGCUGCAGAGUGUCCUGUGCAUCAGGAGAAAAUGAGAGUCUUGUUUCUUCUGAAAUGAUGUCCCCACGAUGUCAACAGUGGUACUGUUCAAGGUGGGAACUCUGAUGUCUCCUAUUCAGCAGCCAUCCCCAGAUCAACCCUUUCUACUGUCAACUGUUUGAGAAGAAUCUUCCAUUCCCAGAGUGCAUUCUGACAAGAAAUGGGUCUUCCCCUCAGAGCAAAUGUUCUGGAAUGCUAUGCUAAGGAAGGGGUAAAUACACCGAAUUAUCAGCUAGGAUCUGUCAGCCUGAAAUUCAUCAAGUAAUCCAUUGAUAUUAUUUAAGAGUUUCUGAAUGUGAAGCAGUAAAUAAUUAAAUCUUCUAAAAAUGA